UCCAGACUCCUACGGGAGGCAGCAGUGGGGGAUAUUGCACAAUGGGGGAAACCCUGAUGCAGCGACGCCGCGUGAGUGAAGAAGUAUUUCGGUAUGUAAAGCUCUAUCAGCAGGGAAGAAAAUGACAGUACCUGACCAAGAAGCCCCGGCUAACUACGUGCCAGCAGCCGCGGUAAUACGUAGGGGGCGAGCGUUAUCCGGAUUCACUGGGUGUAAAGGGAGCGUAGACGGCCAUGCAAGCCAGGGGUGAAAGCCCGGGGCCCAACCCCGGGACUGCAUUUGAAACUGUCAGGCUGGAGUGCAGGAGAGGUAAGUGGAAUUCCUAGUGUAGCGGUGAAAUGCGUAGAUAUUAGGAGGAACACCAGUGGCGAAGGCGGCUUACUGGACUGUAACUGACGUUGAGGCCCGAAAGCGUGGGGAGCAAACAGGAUUAGAUACCCGCGUAA
Molecule: ribosomal RNA, 446 nt
Filed under: uncultured bacterium
Lineage: Bacteria
Description: bacterial SSU rRNA
Rfam family: Bacterial small subunit ribosomal RNA
Source: RNAcentral